UACGUAGGGAGCAAGCGUUGUUCGGAAUGACUGGGCGCAAAGGGUGCGUAGGUGGUUUGACAAGUUGGUAGCGCAACUCCGGGGCUCAACCUCGGCACUACUACCAAAACUGUUGAACUUGAGUGCAGGAGGGGCAAAUGGAAUUCCUAGUGUAGCGGUGGAAUGCGUAGAUAUUAGGAGGAACACCAGUGGCGAAGGCGAUUUGCUGGACUGUAACUGACACUGAGGCACGAAAGCGUGGGGAGCAAAAAGG
RNAcentral lists this ribosomal RNA (253 nucleotides) under uncultured Eubacteriales bacterium. RNAcentral's name for it is "uncultured Clostridiales bacterium partial 16S ribosomal RNA". It matches the Rfam family "Bacterial small subunit ribosomal RNA", at positions 524 to 776 of the family's 1533-position model. Lineage: Bacteria; Bacillati; Bacillota; Clostridia; Eubacteriales. The record is from RNAcentral.